This 1310-nucleotide ribosomal RNA is filed under the name Vibrio tubiashii NCIMB 1337 = ATCC 19106. Its description in RNAcentral is "bacterial LSU rRNA". It matches the Rfam family "Bacterial large subunit ribosomal RNA", at positions 1647 to 2925 of the family's 2925-position model. The record is from RNAcentral. Lineage: Bacteria; Pseudomonadati; Pseudomonadota; Gammaproteobacteria; Vibrionales; Vibrionaceae.
CCCCAAACCGACACAGGUGGUCGGGUAGAGAAUACCAAGGCGCUUGAGAGAACUCGGGUGAAGGAACUAGGCAAAAUGGUACCGUAACUUCGGGAGAAGGUACGCUCUUGACGGUGAAGUCCCUUGCGGAUGGAGCUAUUGAGAGUCGCAGAUACCAGGUGGCUGCAACUGUUUAUUAAAAACACAGCACUGUGCAAAAUCGUAAGAUGACGUAUACGGUGUGACGCCUGCCCGGUGCCGGAAGGUUAAUUGAUGGGGUUAGACGUAAGUCGAAGCUCUUGAUCGAAGCCCCGGUAAACGGCGGCCGUAACUAUAACGGUCCUAAGGUAGCGAAAUUCCUUGUCGGGUAAGUUCCGACCUGCACGAAUGGCGUAAUGAUGGCCACGCUGUCUCCACCCGAGACUCAGUGAAAUUGAAAUCGCUGUGAAGAUGCAGUGUACCCGCGGCUAGACGGAAAGACCCCGUGAACCUUUACUACAGCUUGGCACUGAACAUUGACCCUACAUGUGUAGGAUAGGUGGGAGGCUUUGAAACCGGUACGCCAGUAUCGGUGGAGCCGUCCUUGAAAUACCACCCUUGUAGUGUUGAUGUUCUAACUUAGACCCGUUAUCCGGGUUGAGGACAGUGCCUGGUGGGUAGUUUGACUGGGGCGGUCUCCUCCCAAAGAGUAACGGAGGAGCACGAAGGUGGGCUAAUCACGGUUGGACAUCGUGAGGUUAGUGCAAUGGCAUAAGCCCGCUUGACUGCGAGAAUGACAAUUCGAGCAGGUGCGAAAGCAGGUCAUAGUGAUCCGGUGGUUCUGUAUGGAAGGGCCAUCGCUCAACGGAUAAAAGGUACUCCGGGGAUAACAGGCUGAUACCGCCCAAGAGUUCAUAUCGACGGCGGUGUUUGGCACCUCGAUGUCGGCUCAUCACAUCCUGGGGCUGAAGUCGGUCCCAAGGGUAUGGCUGUUCGCCAUUUAAAGUGGUACGCGAGCUGGGUUUAGAACGUCGUGAGACAGUUCGGUCCCUAUCUGCCGUGGGCGUUGGAAGAUUGAAGGGGGCUGCUCCUAGUACGAGAGGACCGGAGUGGACGAACCUCUGGUGUUCGGGUUGUGUCGCCAGACGCAUUGCCCGGUAGCUAAGUUCGGAAUCGAUAACCGCUGAAAGCAUCUAAGCGGGAAGCGAGCCCUGAGAUGAGUCUUCCCUGACCCCUUGAGGGUCCUAAAGGGUUGUUCGAGACUAGAACGUUGAUAGGCAGGGUGUGUAAGCGUUGUGAGGCGUUGAGCUAACCUGUACUAAUUGCCCGUGAGGCUUAACCAUACAACACCC